Molecule: ribosomal RNA, 503 nt
Filed under: uncultured bacterium
Lineage: Bacteria
Description: partial 16S ribosomal RNA
Rfam family: Bacterial small subunit ribosomal RNA
Source: RNAcentral
AUUGAACGCUGGCGGCAGGCUUAACACAUGUAAGUCGAGCGGGGUGAUGGUGCUUGCACUAUCACUUAGCGGCGGACGGGUGAGUAAUGCUUAGGAAUCUGCCUAUUAGUGGGGGACAACAUCUCGAAAGGGAUGCUAAUACCGCAUACGUCCUACGGGAGAAAGCAGGGGAUCACUUGUGACCUUGCGCUAAUAGAUGAGCCUAAGUCGGAUUAGCUAGUUGGUGGGGUAAAGGCCUACCAAGGCGACGAUCUGUAGCGGGUCUGAGAGGAUGAGCCGCCAAACUGGGACUGAGACACGGCCCAGACUCCUACGGGAGGCAGCAGUGGGGAAUAUUGGACAAUGGGGGGAACCCUGAUCCAGCCAUGCCGCGUGUGUGAAGAAGGCCUUAUGGUUGUAAAGCACUUUAAGCGAGGAGGAGGCUCUUUUGGUUAAUACCCAAGAUGAGUGGACGUUACUCGCAGAAUAAGCACCGGCUAACUCUGUGCCAGCCGCCGCGGUAA